AUACCUUUUUUGGUCUUUUGGCUAAGAUCAAGUGUAAUAUUUGUUCUUAUCAGUUUAGUUUAAUAUCUAAUAUAUAGUCUAUAUGUUCACUUUGAUAUUAAAUUUAACACAUGCA
Molecule: small nuclear RNA, 115 nt
Filed under: Zea mays
Lineage: Eukaryota; Viridiplantae; Streptophyta; Magnoliopsida; Poales; Poaceae
Description: U2 spliceosomal RNA
Rfam family: U2 spliceosomal RNA
About the family: U2 is a small nuclear RNA (snRNA) component of the spliceosome (involved in pre-mRNA splicing). Complementary binding between U2 snRNA (in an area lying towards the 5' end but 3' to hairpin I) and the branchpoint sequence (BPS) of the intron results the bulging out of an unpaired adenosine, on the BPS, which initiates a nucleophilic attack at the intronic 5' splice site, thus starting the first of two transesterification reactions that mediate splicing.
Source: Rfam by way of RNAcentral